This 273-nucleotide unclassified non-coding RNA is filed under the name Hevea brasiliensis (rubber tree). The record is from RNAcentral. Lineage: Eukaryota; Viridiplantae; Streptophyta; Magnoliopsida; Malpighiales; Euphorbiaceae.
UGCCAAUCUCUCAAUUGCUGCUGUGGGUUUGGUUUCGGCUUUAUAAUGUUCAUCACUUUCUCCAUUAUCUUCUUUUGGGCCUUUUUUCUCUCCUUUGCUUCUAAUGGGUAUAUGAUUGAUUGCUUAGAAUCAAAAUUGCGUCGAUUGAUCAAACUUCAAUCCUUUCGGGUUUUUGUCCGUGAACUCUAGGUCUGAGCAGUGAGCAUUGUCCAUUAUAACCCAAAAUUGAAAUCAGUUUAACUUUGAGGUUCGGUUAUCCAAUUUAAAUGAUUC